GGGUCAGUAGGUUGGUCGUGCCACCGGUACGUACUGGUCUCACUGAUUCCUCCUUCCUGAAGAACCGUAAUGCCAUUAAUUUGGUAUUGCGGGGAAACAGGACUGUUACUUUGAAAAAAUUAGAGUGUUUAAAGCAAGCUAGCGCUUGAAUACAUUAGCAUGGAAUAAUGAAAUAGGACGAUCGAUCCUAUUUUGUUGGUUUCUAGGAUUGACGUA
RNAcentral lists this ribosomal RNA (216 nucleotides) under Glomeromycotina sp. RNAcentral's name for it is "partial small subunit ribosomal RNA". The stretch from base 40 to 216 matches the Rfam family "Eukaryotic small subunit ribosomal RNA", at positions 686 to 864 of the family's 1831-position model. The record is from RNAcentral. Lineage: Eukaryota; Fungi; Glomeromycota.